AAGGCUUUAAGUUAAUUAAACUAUUAGCCUUCAAAGCUGAAAAUAAAAAAAAUUUUUUAAGCCUUA
RNAcentral lists this transfer RNA (66 nucleotides) under Paraleuctra cercia. RNAcentral describes it as "tRNA-Trp". It matches the Rfam family "tRNA". Rfam says of the family: Transfer RNA (tRNA) molecules are approximately 80 nucleotides in length. Their secondary structure includes four short double-helical elements and three loops (D, anti-codon, and T loops). Lineage: Eukaryota; Metazoa; Arthropoda; Insecta; Plecoptera; Leuctridae. The record is from RNAcentral.